Molecule: small nucleolar RNA, 83 nt
Organism: Elgaria multicarinata webbii
Lineage: Eukaryota; Metazoa; Chordata; Lepidosauria; Squamata; Anguidae
Product: small nucleolar RNA SNORD72
Exons: 1
Source: RefSeq, a predicted model, not a curated record
AGCUUAUCUGUGAUGUUUCUCUUUUAAAAAAUGUCUGAACAUCUGAGUUCAUAAGUGAUUUCAUUUUGUAACUGAGAUAAGCU